Molecule: ribosomal RNA, 376 nt
Filed under: uncultured bacterium
Lineage: Bacteria
Description: bacterial SSU rRNA
Rfam family: Bacterial small subunit ribosomal RNA
Source: RNAcentral
AUACGUAGGGGGCAAGCGUUGUCCGGAAUUAUUGGGCGUAAAGCGCGCGCAGGCGGUGGAUUAAGUUUGGUGUUUAAUCCCGGGGCUCAACCUCGGUACGCACUGAAAACUGGUUCACUUGAGUGCAGGAGAGGAGAGUGGAAUUCCACGUGUAGCGGUGAAAUGCGUAGAGAUGUGGAGGAACACCAGUGGCGAAGGCGACUCUCUGGUCUGUAACUGACGCUGAGGCGCGAAAGCGUGGGUAGCAAACAGGAUUAGAUACCCUGGUAGUCCACGCCGUAAACGAUGAAUGCUAGGUGUUGGGGGUUUCGAUGCCCUUGGUGCCGAAGUUAACACAUUAAGCAUUCCGCCUGGGGAGUACGGUCGCAAGACUGAA